CACGUAGGGCGCAAGCGUUGUCCGGAAUUAUUGGGCGUAAAGAGCUCGUAGGCGGUCUGUUACGUCUGCUGUGAAAACCCGGGGCUUAACCCUGGGCUUGCAGUGGAUACGGGCAGACUAGAGGCAGGUAGGGGAGAAUGGAAUUCCCGGUGUAGCGGUGAAGUGCGCAGAUAUCGGGAGGAACACCGGUGGCGAAGGCGGUUCUCUGGGCCUGACCUGACGCUGAGGAGCGAAAGCGUGGGGAGCGAACAGG
This 253-nucleotide ribosomal RNA is filed under the name uncultured bacterium. RNAcentral's name for it is "partial 16S ribosomal RNA". It matches the Rfam family "Bacterial small subunit ribosomal RNA", at positions 524 to 776 of the family's 1533-position model. The record is from RNAcentral.